CCUACGGGUGGCAGCAGUGAGGAAUAUUGGUCAAUGGGCUUACGCCUGAACCAGCCAAGUCGCGUGAGGGAAGACUGCCCUCUGGGUUGUAAACCUCUUUUGUCAGGGAGCAAUAUGCGCUACGUGUAGCGUUAUCGAGAGUACCUGAAGAAAAAGCAUCGGCUAACUCCGUGCCAGCAGCCGCGGUAAUACGGAGGAUGCGAGCGUUAUCCGGAUUUUUUGGGUUUAAAGGGUGCGUAGGCGGAAUGCCAAGUCAGCGGUAAAAUCGCGGGGCUCAACCUCGCUCCGCCGUUGAAACUGGCGGUCUUGAGUGGGCGAGAAGUAUGCGGAAUGCGUGGUGUAGCGGUGAAAUGCAUAGAUAUCGCGCAGAACUCCGAUUGCGAAGGCAGCAUACCGGAGGCGAACUGACGCUGAAGCACGAAAGCGUGGGUAUCGAACAGGAUUAGAUACCCUUGUAGUC
This 460-nucleotide ribosomal RNA is filed under the name uncultured bacterium. RNAcentral describes it as "partial 16S ribosomal RNA". It matches the Rfam family "Bacterial small subunit ribosomal RNA", at positions 338 to 795 of the family's 1533-position model. The record is from RNAcentral.